UACGUAGGGUGCGAGCGUUGUCCGGAAUUAUUGGGCGUAAAGAGCUCGUAGGCGGUUCGUCGCGUCGGCUGUGAAAUCCCGAGGCUCAACCUCGGGUCUGCAGUCGAUACGGGCGGACUUGAGUACUGCAGGGGAGACUGGAAUUCCUGGUGUAGCGGUGGAAUGCGCAGAUAUCAGGAGGAACACCGGUGGCGAAGGCGGGUCUCUGGGCAGUAACUGACGCUGAGGAGCGAAAGCGUGGGGAGCGAACAGG
Molecule: ribosomal RNA, 253 nt
Filed under: uncultured bacterium
Lineage: Bacteria
Description: partial 16S ribosomal RNA
Rfam family: Bacterial small subunit ribosomal RNA
Source: RNAcentral